GGCCCGUUAGCUCAGUGGUAGAGCGUCCCGUUUACACCGGGCCGGUCGGCAGUUCGAAUCUGUCACGGGCUACCA
RNAcentral lists this transfer RNA (75 nucleotides) under Paracoccus sp. (in: a-proteobacteria). Its description in RNAcentral is "tRNA-Val". It matches the Rfam family "tRNA". From Rfam's summary of the family: Transfer RNA (tRNA) molecules are approximately 80 nucleotides in length. The record is from RNAcentral. Lineage: Bacteria; Pseudomonadati; Pseudomonadota; Alphaproteobacteria; Rhodobacterales; Paracoccaceae. RNAcentral also lists the same sequence under 2 other names.